CCGGCCUCAGCCGGCGCACCUGGCGGAGGAGGAACCUCGCGACGCGCUCUCGGGCAUCGGUUUCUCCCAGCAAAGCUUGGAGGGUUUAGCUGCGCGGAGAGCUCAGCGAGCUCUUCUGUGUCUGUUUGGGGCGUGUGGGCUCCGGGAGCGUGAGGACCGGGAAGCUAGGAGGCUCCUUCCCUUCUGGCGGCUCCCUCACUGAGACCGGGCGGUUUGGUUGCGGGGGAAGUGGAGACGAGCCACCCUUGACCUUUGACUGCAAGAACUCACCUUGAGCAGGAUAGAGGCACGUGGACGGUGACCCUCGGGAUGCAAUAAAUGCUGAGACAGAUCAGCAAACAUUGAGUGGGCCAGACACUGUUCUGAAAAAUACGCAGUCGACUUUUGAACAGCACAGGCUUGAACUGCAUGCGGCCACUAAUACUCGGACUUCCUUCUGCCUCUGCCAUCCCUAAGACAGCAAGACCCACCCCUCCUGCUCCUCAGCCUACUCGAUGUGAUGAUGGGAACCAGAAGUCUGGACUAGAUCAGAGCUUCUCAAAUCAUCCGAGGAUCCUGUUAAAAUGUGGAGCCUGAUGAGGAGACCUGCUGGGGGCAGACAUCCUGCACUUCUAACAAGCUCCCAGAGGAUGCAGUUACUUUUGCCCAUCUGUGGAUUCACUGAGGAGCAAGCAGGACUUCUAAGGUCACCUCUUGCUCUGAAGGGACAGACCUUGAGCCCUGGCAGUGGGCACAAAGAGAGUGACAAAAACAAAAAACAAACAAACAACAACAACAACAAAAACCCAGUUGCCCAGAUUUGGGUCAGCCAGGAGAGCACAGAAUGUGAAAUGAUUCCAGAGGGAUCCUUCCAACCACAGAUACAAAAAUCAACAUCGUCAUCGUCACCAUCAGCAAACAUUUGUGCAGUGCUUUCCCCUGUCCUGAGCAGCUGUCACAUCCUUGAACCCAGUUGACCCCUACAGGCACCCUGGUGGGAGAGGAGGACACGGCUGAGGAAUCCAUUCAGUCCCGGUGGAGGAGCUGGGCAAGAGCACAAUAGUCCCUGAAAGGAUUGUUUCCAUGCAGCCCUUUGAUUUUCUUAGCAUUUUUUUUUUUUUGGUGCCUGCUUUCUGACCCCUUCUUCCUUUGUCUCCUAAUGCACCCCCACCCCGCUCCUAAUUCUUCCCUCCCCCAACACACACACACACACACACACACACACACACACACAAAAACGUCAGGAGGAGAAAAUCAGUGUAUCCACCCACAGAUUUCUCACUUUGAUCCUUUCCUGUCUCACCGCCUGGAACCCAGCUUCAGAGACCAGGAUUCUGGCUCGUUUUGGGGUGACCCAGUCACUUCCACUCUUCUCACUUGUAACUAUGCAAUUUUCCUUAAGGUGACAUUUGUGAAGGAUUUAUGUUGUCUGGGCACUAUGCUGAGUGACUUCAUUCUCACUUCACCCUAGGGAGUGGGAACUCUUAACUAUCUCCACUUCAUUGGUGAGAAAACUGAGCCUUUAGGAUGUUUGCCUGCCCAAGGUCACCUAGUUAGUAAAUGAUGGAGUCAGGACAUUACCUGACCUUGGCUGACUGACAUCAAAGAUCAUUGUAGAUGAACGCACAGUUGUAAGAAGUAAUACAGAGAGAUUUGUGUAACUCUUAUCCAGUUUUCUCCAAAGGGAGCAUCUUGCAAAACUGUACUACAAUAUCAUAACAAAGAUAUUGACACUGAUAAAAUCCACCAGCCUUAUUCAGAUUUCCUCAGUUUUACUUGUCCUCAUGUGAGUGUAUUUAGUUCUUUGCAAUUUUAACAUGUAUGUAGGUCCAUGUAUGUAGCGCCACAGUCAAGAUACACAACAGCUCUGUCAGCACAGGCUUCUGCAGCCUUUAAUAAUCACAUCUACUUCUCCAUGUCACCCAGCAUCCCUCAUUCUUGUAACACUAAACCUGUUCUCUAUCUCUAUAAUUUCAUUAUUUCGAGAAUGUUCUGUAAGUGGAAGUAUAUGCUUCUGGGAUUGGCUUUUUGACUCAGUCUAAUUCUCUUGAGAGUCACUGAGUUAUGGCAUGCAUCAGUAGUGUUUUGUUUUUUUUUUUAAUUUUAACUGAGUGGUGUUCCAUGGCAUAGAAGUACCACAGUUUCUUUAACC
RNAcentral lists this long non-coding RNA (2131 nucleotides) under Homo sapiens (human). RNAcentral describes it as "non-protein coding STX18-AS1:14". The record is from RNAcentral. Lineage: Eukaryota; Metazoa; Chordata; Mammalia; Primates; Hominidae.